CAGCAGCCGCGGUAAUACGAAGGGUGCAAGCGUUACUCGGAAUUACUGGGCGUAAAGCGUGCGUAGGUGGUGGUUUAAGUCCGUUGUGAAAGCCCUAGGCUCAACCUGGGAAUUGCAGUGGAUACUGGGUCACUAGAGUGUGGUAGAGGAUAGUGGAAUUUCCGGUGUAGCAGUGAAAUGCGUAGAGAUCGGAAGGAACAUCUGUGGCGAAGGCGACUAUCUGGGCCAACACUGACACUGAGGCACGAAAGCGUGGGGAGCAAACAGGAUUAGAUACCCGCGUAGUCCCUGUCUCUUAUAC
RNAcentral lists this ribosomal RNA (301 nucleotides) under uncultured bacterium. Its description in RNAcentral is "partial 16S ribosomal RNA". It matches the Rfam family "Bacterial small subunit ribosomal RNA", at positions 509 to 807 of the family's 1533-position model. The record is from RNAcentral.